Molecule: long non-coding RNA, 246 nt
Filed under: Setaria italica (foxtail millet)
Lineage: Eukaryota; Viridiplantae; Streptophyta; Magnoliopsida; Poales; Poaceae
Description: long non-coding RNA (SITA_LNC001504)
Source: RNAcentral
UAUUAAAUUGGGUUUAAUAUCAAAUCAGGCUCGUUUUGGAAAUAAGCACCAUACCAAAGCUAUUAUUUGGAUGUAGAUGAAAUUGACAGACGGAAUUCAACGAGAUAGUAAAUACCAAAUCAUGUUUGGAUGUGCAUACAGUAAAAAUUUGGCAUUGACCCACCUUCUCUCCAACCAGACAGCUGCUGCCUCUCAUCCUCCUUUGCCGUCACGAUAGCGGCACGGAAGCACACUAUCCUACCUUCG